AUUAACAUAUGUAUGUACGUAUAUACACAUACAUAUAUACAUAUAAAAUUGACCAUAUACAUAUAUUUGUGUGUUCAACACACGCAUUAUUUUUCAGGUACUGCACUAACCUUUUAUUCCAUUGACUUGUUACUUUUCCUAAGAACUCUGUGACACUGGCCUUAUUAUACCUGUUUUAAAGAUAAACAAGUUUAGUUAGAGAUGGCCCAAGGUCACACAGCUAGUGGAGGAGCUGGGAUUUGACCCCAAACAGUCUGACUGUUGACCCAAUGCUCUUAAGCAACUGUGCAAUACAGCGAAAGGGGCGCCGGGGGUUAAUGUUCACACUGCUUGAUGCUGCUGACUUCCGACCAGCCACAAGGCACCCCGGAGCCAAAGGCAGAUGACUCCCUGGCUUGCCAGUGACGUGUGAUGCGGUCUGAUAUGACAAAGUGAGUUAAACAAGCAGAUUUUUCCUCUCAGGAAACAGACACAAGAACAACUGAAAAGAAUAAAGCAGAUGUGUGAGUUACUAUUCCUUACAGCAAAAGAACCUCAUCAGAACCGCAGGCUGGAAAGAGCUGUGAGACCAGUUGCCUUUCAUAUAUUCUAGAAGAGAAGGAUGAGUGCUCUACAAGUAUAGAAAGAAGCCUUCCUCUUCCCACCGUCCCCAGACACCACAUAAUGGAAAAAGCAAGAAUUUUCUGCAUAAGCAAGGCCUUAAAAAAAAAAAAGCCAGCCUCUGAUGGGACUUCUUUCCUGCCAGAAAUCCCACUGGUCCACUGUCGCAAUUUUUACAAAAGGCCACGAUGAAAGAGUAAGGCCCAUUUUGAGCCCUUUGCUUCUGUAUUAUGUGAAACAUAACUUGUAUGUUUCACAUAUGUUCUUGGUAUCAGAAGAAUUGUUAGUUUUUGAACAUGUAAAAUCUACUAGGGUCUCUGACUGUUAAAGUAUAAUUUUGAUUAAGAAAAGAUUUGUUCCACUGCUUUGAUUAGACACAUAAAACUUUGAAAAGUU
This 996-nucleotide long non-coding RNA is filed under the name Homo sapiens (human). RNAcentral describes it as "HSALNT0327074". The record is from RNAcentral. Lineage: Eukaryota; Metazoa; Chordata; Mammalia; Primates; Hominidae.